This is a small nuclear RNA of Otolemur garnettii (small-eared galago), 141 nucleotides long. Its record names the gene U4. It matches the Rfam family "U4 spliceosomal RNA". Rfam says of the family: U4 small nuclear RNA (U4 snRNA) is a component of the major U2-dependent spliceosome. Lineage: Eukaryota; Metazoa; Chordata; Mammalia; Primates; Galagidae. The record is from Ensembl.
AGCUUUGCACAGUGGCAGUAUCAUAGCCAAUGAGAUUUAUCCAAGGUGCGAUUAUUGCUAAUUGAAAACUUUUCCCAAUACUGGGCAGUGACAACUUGCAAUAUAGUCAGCACUGGCAGAUCUUGACAGUCUCUAUGGAGA